Molecule: long non-coding RNA, 9340 nt
Filed under: Glycine max (soybean)
Lineage: Eukaryota; Viridiplantae; Streptophyta; Magnoliopsida; Fabales; Fabaceae
Description: long non-coding RNA (GMAX_LNC001575)
Source: RNAcentral
GAAGGUGUAGUGUACUGUUCAUUUCAAAGGGAAGCGUAUUCUUCACCCCAAAUCCCGCUCAAAUUCUCUAUUUCUACACGUUAGCAUUUAAAAAAUUUCUCUCCCAAAAGUUUUGAUUUCGCUCACUGAACGGAUCCCCCAUCCCCAUCUUUGAAAUUUUCACCUCUCUCGUGUGAUGGAGAAGUAGGAUGAAGGGGGGGCUGAUGAUGUACCAAACAUUACAGCAGUGGUCGGAGUGCCUCGGUUACCACUCUCAGACUCGAAGAUUAGGACCACUCCUUUGAUUCCACCAACAAUUACAAUCAUUGAUUUUCCCUUCUCUGGUGCGUCCAAAUCCCCCACCAUCAAGAUCAGAAAGAUAUUAAUAAUUAAUAAAAAAAAAUGUUGUAUUUUUCAUAAUUUCUUCAAUUUUGACUUUUAUUCCAUUUCAUUUUAGGCAUCUUUUGAAUUAGUGACUAUAGUUGGCUUAGAUGAAGACUGUUUUAUUUAUUUAUUAUUAUUUCUACAAGAAAUGACAAAGAUCAAAAGCGAAUUAUUAUUUCUUCACAUAGUGCUGAUAUAAAGUAUAUUGUGUUUUUAUUAGGUGACACCUCUAGAUGAAUUUAUUUGCAUUGUCACACUUCGAACUUUGUUUCUGAGUGGAGGUUAGCCAUUUGGGACCUUAAGGCUGUAGUUUAAAUGGUUCCGACACGACUUCAAACAGUGGUGUCUCUGUUUCUGACACAUCGACGAUACGGACACGUGUCAGACAUGUACUAGACACAUGUCAAACACACAUUCGACGUAUUUAACUUUUUUUUAAACCUUCGACAUGGUUCUGAAUAUGGAAAGCCAAUAGACAUGAUAUGACUUUCGUAAUUUUUUUUCAAAAUCAUAUUUUUUAAAAUCUUAAAAGAUAAAAGAUUAGAUUUUAAAUUAUAAUAAUAGAUUAGGUUUUUUUAUUAUUUUCUCUUCACGCUUCCUUUUCACGUCAUUUACGCUUCAUAUUUCUUUUUAAAUCUUAAAGAUAAAAUAUUAUAUUUGAAAUUAUAAUAAUAGAUUAGAUUAAAUCAAAUUAGAAUAAUAACACUUUCUCUUCACGUCAGUUGUGUCACUCCUUCAUUCACGUAGUUCCCUCGUUCAUGUCUAUUCAUUACUGGUUUGAGUUUGUUGUUGCCGUCGUUCGUUCAGCUUAUGACCUUAGUAGCAUUUACGGUUGCUGACUCUGACUUGUUGUUUGUUGCGUUUGUGGUUGCUCUGACUUACUGUUUUGGUUCUGGCGGGAUGGAUUGUAACUUUGUAAGGUUUGCAUCUUUGAAACCUUUUCUAUACUUUCCAAUUUUUAUAAUUUUGUCUUCAUCUUUCGUAGGCUUGUAAAUUUUUAGUUUAAUAUUUUUUUCUUUACUUUUUUACCUACUAAUACAUUUAAUACUUUCUGAUUUUUAAUUUUAUAUCCUAUUUUGAUAAUAGUUUUUAAAUAUAACCGUUAACCAUUCAUAGUUUUUAAUUUUUUUUGUUUUUAGAUUAUUUUUUAAAGAGACAAAUUUUUUGUCUUGUGAAAUUUUCUUUUAAAUGAUAAUGGUGUUACUUAAUAUAAUUUUUUUAUACUUAUAUAUAUAUAUAUAUAUGUGUGUGUACCCGUGUCUUAUGUUUUAGAAUUUAGUCGUUCGUGGUGUUGGUGUCAUGUUCAGUGUCGGUUUGUGCUUCAUAGAUUAUGUGGAUUACCAACUUGCAGUGUGUUGUCUAGCUAAGUUGAGUUUACCAAAAAGGAUUUUGUUUUAAAUUUUACUCUCUUUGACUAUUAUGUUUUGCUUUCACCUGCUCAAGCAAGAAUUUGAAGGUAUGUUUGAGUAAAAUACUAAAUAUUAUUGCAGAGGCCUGAGAUUUAAGCAUCCUGACAUCAUUCCCUCAUUGCUUUUUUAUUUUUUUCCUAGUCUAAACAAAGGUAAGCCACAAGGUAUUCAGUUGUAGUUAAUUUAGGCAUGGACAACAUUAUGGAAAAGUGUAUAUGUUCUCGUUUACUUUUCAAUUCCAACACAGUACACUUGUAUUUUUCUUUGCUUUUAUAGUAGAUUGGUUUAAUCUAUAUUUUAAUACUUUGUAGUCUAUACUUUGCUUUGAAAAUUGUGGUUUAUACUUUGACUGAGGAUAGUAGUUUGGCACUUUGUAGUUUGUAUUUUGCUCUGGUAAUUGUGAUUUAUUUUUAUACUAAGCAGUUUUUUUUGUAUACAUAUUCACAGAAGUUUGUGUUAGUUUUGUUCGUAAAUUUAAAACGGAUAAAUAUAAAACUUUGCAUCUAAUGUUUAAUUUUAUUUCCUUUCUAAAUGCUACUUUGUUCUGAAAAUUGUGGUUUAUUAAGAUAUUGAGUUUCUUUAUUUGGACUCAUUAAAACAGGAGUUGGUGAUAAUUUUGUUUCUAAUAUGAGAAAAGGUAACUGUAAAAGUUUUAUAUCUAAUGCUUUAUUUUAUUUUAUUAUAAGUGAUACAUUUUUUGUAUAUCAAUUUUUUAAGAUUUUAAGUGUUAAAUCUGCCAUAUGGCAGCAUCCUUUUGAUAAUUUUGUUCUACCACUCUCUUCUCUGCCUCUGCUUAUGUUUCUUCCCUUCCUUUUUUUUUAUAUAUAUAAUUCAUUGUAUAUUUGUAUCAAUUCUCUUUUAUCUUCCCUUUGCUUUUAUACCUGGUUUGUGUAAUCUUUGUUCUGAUAUUUUAUAAUCUAUAUUUAUGCUGAAAAUUGAAACCAUUUUCAUUUACUGAUACUCUUUAGUUUUCUUUGGACUCGUAUGAUUAGAAAUUUAUAUAAUUUUGUUCCUAAAUUCACGAAAGGUACAUCCAAUGUGUAUUUUUAUUUCAUUUUCUAAAUGUAAAUGCUAGUUUUUGCAUAUCAAAAUUCUUUAGAUUUCACGCGUUACAUUUGCCAUGCCAUCUAAUAAGAUAGUUUUGUUCUAACAUUCUCAUAUCUAGCUCUACCUAUGAUUCUUCUACUCCUGUUAUUCUUUACUGUUCCUUUAAUUAAUUAUUCCAAAGAUUUUUUUGGUGUAUACUAUAUAUAAAAUUUUCUAUAUACCUGUAUAUUAUGUGAAUUUUUCAACUUUUUUGUAUUCUUAAGAAAUAGCAUAUCUCAACCGUUUAUUUCUUUGUCUUGUCUUUUUAUUUUUUGUUUCUGCUUUAAGCCUUCAACAAUUGAGAUGGCGCUUGUGUUGUAAUUUUAAUUAUUAUUUCAAAAGAAUUUUCUUAAAAAAUAUUUAAUUAUAUGGAUAAGUUAUGGCAUUUAAAUUCAAAUUUUGAAAUUUAAAUUUUCAAUAAAAGUGGAAAUCAAGAGGCGGAUAAUGAUAAUUAUAGGCUCAUUAUUGGUGAUAAAAGAGUAAAAAAAGUUGGCCGAAGUUUUUUUUUUAAAAUGAUUUUAAAAGGAAAUGAGGCUAUUGACUUUAUUUUUGUUUUCUUCUUUUCUUUUCUUUGUUUUCUCUUUGCCUCUAUUAAGCCUUCUCCCUCUUUACUCCUAGGUCAAUCAUUUUUUUUGCGAGUUCUGUAACCUUAGUUCUGCUAAGAUGUUCUUGUUGUAUCCUGGGAGGUUUGUGUGGGAUAUCGCGGAUAAACCUUUUAGGUCAGUGACUGUCACGCUUCAGAAAGUUCAACCACGUUCGUGAUUUUUGACUUUAGCAACAACAAUCUAAAAGGUUUAUUUCAUGGUUGAAGCCGCGAAACCUGUCAACAAUGCCAACGCUUCCAACCUUAUGCGAUUGAUGACAGCCUUUGCUAAGCCAUUGCCUGACGUCUCAAAAAUUGAGGUCUUCACUGGAGAAAAUUUUCGUCGCUAGCAGGAGCCCGUUCAUACCUUGUUGGACAUGCAUGGAGUUGUCUUCGCUCUUUCCACUCCCAAACAUGAUGCCGCUGCUGAUAACAAUCAACUUCAACAAUGGGUUCAAGCCAAUAAGGUAUGUCGUCACACUUUGUUAAGUGCCUUGUCUAAUGAUCUUUUCGAUGUCUAUUGCUCCUACAAGGAAUCCAAAGAGAUAUGGGACUCUCUCAUACUCAAAUGCACUUUCGAGGACGUGGUUAGACAUAGAUUCAUCAUCGCCAACUACUACCACUGAACUAUGAACAAAGAAAAAAACAUCAAGGUACAAAUCAACAAAUACCACAAGCUGUUGGAAGACCUGAAGACUAAAAACAUCUCUUUACCUGACGAGUUCGUUUCUAAACUCUUGAUUGAAAAGUUGUUGGAGUCCUGGACAAACUAUAAACAACACUUAAAGCACAGGCAUAAACAAAUGUCACUGCCUAACCUUAUCACCCACAUUAUCAUUGAAGAUACAAAUAGAAAGAAAAGUGUUGCAACAAGGACCAAAGUAAUAUCUGCCAAGGCAAACACAGUACAAGACAAACCGUUUCAUAAGAGGUAUGCCAACAAAAUUGAUCAUAAUAACAAGAAUAAGUACAAAUAUAAUAACUCACGUGCUGCUCCUUCUAAUCCCAUCCCAUGUGCUCCUGCUUCUAAUCCUUCUUUCAAGAAAAAAAGAAGCUUGUUUUGUUUGUGGGAAGCAAGGACAUUUUGUUCCUUAGUGCAGGUACAAAGUUGUGAGAAAUGACAAUCCUCCUAAGCCUAGGGCUAACCUGGUUGAAGGAGAUGACAUUAUUGUUGCGAUCAUUUCUCAAGUGAAUGUUGUCACCAAUGUGAACAAAUGAGUGGUAGACUCUGGGGCUACCAGGCACAUUUGUGUUAAUAAGAGCAUGUUUACCUCCUACGCUGCUGUGGGGGAUGGAGAAGAACAAGUUUAUCUUGAUGAUUCGAGAACUACUCUGAUUCAAGGAAAGGGGAAAGUUAUUCUCAAGCUCACAUCUUGGAAAACACUAGCUUUGAAUGAUGUGCUACAUGUUCCCUCUAUCAGAGUUAACCUUGUUUCUGUAGCAUUUUUGGAAAAGGUUGGGGUAAAAGUACCCUUUGAGUUUGGUAAGAUAGUUAUGACCAAGAAUAAUGUAUUUGUGGGGAAGGGUUAUUGUGAUCAGGGUUAGUACUCAAUGUUUCUGAAGUGAUUAAUGAGAAUGCAUCUUUUUCUGCUUACAAAAUAUAAUUCCACAUAAGAAAAUAGGUUUAAGCCCUUAUGAGUUAUGGAAAGGAUAUGAACCAAACCUCAAAUAUCUGAGAGUGUGGGGGUGCCUAGCCAAAGUGAUGUUACCCGAUCCAAAGAAAAGGAAAAUAGGAUCUAAGACUUCUGAUUGUUUGUUUAUUGGUUAUGCUGAACAUAGUGUUGCCUAUAGAUUUCUAGUUCUUAAGAGUGAUAUGAUUGAGUGCGACACCAUCAUGGAGACUAAGAAUGGCAAAUUCUUUGAGGACGUUUUCCCUUUGAAGUCUAAGGCUAGUUCCAGUAUCGUUUCUAGUCUUGAACAACUAGUUGAAAUCUAUAGUGAACCUAUAAGCGAGGAUUUGAGGAGAAGUAAAAGACAUAUGACAAAAAAAAUCUUUUAGAGGUGACUUUUAUACAUAUCUUAUUAAGGAUGAUCCCUUUAGGUUUUCAGAAGCUAUUAGUUCUUCAGAUACAAAACUUUGGGAGCAAGCCAUUAGGAUUGAAAUUGACUUUAUUAAAAAGAAUAGUACAUGGACUUCAGCAGAUCUACCUGAAGGUGCAAAUCCUAUUGGAUGCAAAUGGAUCUUUAAGAGGAAGUAUAACCGUGAUGGAUCUAUAGAUAAGUACAAGACAAGGUUGGUUGCUAAAGGGUUUACUUAGAAACCUAACAGAUUUUUUUGAUACCUUUGCACCUGUUACAAGGAUUUCAUCCGUUAGGAUUUUGAUAGCCUUAGCUGCAAUCCAUAAGUUGGUGAUUCAUCAAAUGGAUGUUAAGACAACUUUCUUGAAUGAUGAGUUAGAGGAAGAAAUAUAUAUGACUCAACCUGAGGGGUGUGUGGUGGAUGGUCACGAGAACAAAAUGUGCAAACUUUUGAAAUCCCUAUAUGGUUUAAAACAAGCGCCUAAACAAUGACAUGAAAAAUUUAAUGAGACUUUACUUGUUGAUGGUUUUUCUACUAGUGAUGUUGAUAGAUGCGUGUAUACAAAAUCUGUGAAUGAUGAUCAUGUGUAUUAUAGGCUUGUAUGUGGAUGACAUGCUUAUUUUUGGUACAUGCAAUGAUAUAGUUUUUAAAACUAAAUCUUUCUUAGCAUCUAAAUUUGAUAUGAAAGAUAUGGGUGAAGCAAGUGUUAUUUUGGGAGUUAAAAUUAUAAGGAAGGGAGAUAGUAUACUACUAUCCCAAAAGUAUUAUGUUGAGAAACUUGUUAGGAAGUAUAAAUAUUAUGACUUUAAGUCAGUGAGUACCCCUUAUGAUGCUAACUCUCAAUUAAAGAAAAAUAAAGGAGAACUAAUUGCUCAAACUCAAUAUGCCAAAAUCAUUAGGAGCUUAUUGCAUUUGAUGAAAUUUUCUAGACCUGAUAUUGCAUAUGCGGUAGGCAGAUUGAGUAGAUAUACCCAUAGUCCUAAUCAGGACCAUUGGGAUGCACUUGUUAGACUCAUGAGAUAUCUGAGAGGUACCAUGGAUUAUGGUAUUGAAUACAGUGGAUUUCCCGUAGUACUUGAAGAGUAUAGCGGUGCUAACUGGAUCUCUGAUUCAGAUGAGACAAAAUCCGCUAGUGGUUAUGUGUUUACUCUUGGUGGUGGUGCGGUAGCUUGGAGUUCAGCUAGACAAACUAUUAUUGCUAGAUCAACAAUGAAGUUAGAGUUUGUUGUUCUAGAAAUGACUAGUAGUGAGGCUAAGUGGUUGAAAAACUUCUUAACUAACAUUCCUUUGGGAAUGAAACUUACCCCAUCAAUAUCUAUGCAUUGUGAUUCCCAGUUAGUGAUAGCUGUGACUAAGAAUAAAACACUCAAUGGGAAAAAUAGACAUACAACUGAGACUUAAUGUGGUUAAGUAGCUGCUAAAAGAUGGAACAAUUUCUAUAGAUUAUGUGAAGUCAGAAGGAAACUUAGCAAAUUCUUUGACAAAACCCUUAGGGAGGAAUAUGAUAUUAGAAACUUCGAGGGAAAUGGGACUUAAGCCACUUGAAAACAAACAAGUGAUGGUAACCCAACCUUUGUGAUUAGAGAUCCCAUGAAGAAGGUUCAUAUGGGUAAAAACAAGUCACUUGUUAGUUCUGCUAACACUCAAAUUGAUUUCUAUCAAUUUGCUUUAGUCCUUUCCUAUGGUGUGAGAAAGUGUUAGAGCUGCAUUAAUGAGAGGAUAAACUUUAUAGUAAACUUUACAUGUGUUGAGAAAGUUUUACAUCUUAUAAAGUUUUUAAUGAUGUUCAUAUCUUUUAUGGGUGAUGUAUGAUUUACAACAUGCACUUGAUGAAAUCACCUAUAUGAGUGUCGAGUGGGGCCGCUUGCAUGAGAUCUUGGCGAGAUCUCUAGAGCACUCAUGAAUAUCGAGCAUACGCAUGGCCUAGUAGCGCAACACAACAAUAACAACAAAGAUUGUGGGGGUGUCUUGUGAUUGGUAAACUGCUAUCACAUGCCUAGUGUUUUUGGUUCAUAUAGCUUGCUACACCAACUAUAAUGUGUGUUAAGUCCUAUUAGGUCUGAUUCAUAUAGUUUGCUAUACCAGGUCUGAUGCAUUAUACCACAUGUUGACCCAUGAAUUUUCUUUUAUUUAUUAAAUAAUUUAUUCUUUUGAAAUAUGUGGGGGAUUCUUGUAAUUUUAAUAAUUAUUUUAAAAGAAUUUUCUUUAAAAUAUUUAAUUAUAUGGACAAGUUAUGACAUUUAAAUUCAAAUUUCCUAUUAAUGCCGAUAAAAGUGGAAAUCAGGAGGGGGACAAUGACAAUUAUAGGCUUUGGUGAUAAAAGAGAAAAAAAAAGUUAGCUGAAGUUUUUUUUUAAAUGAUUUUAAAAGGAAAUGAGACCAUUGACUUUGUUUUUAUUUUUUCUUCUUUGUUUCUUCUUUGCUUCUUUUUAUUCUUUUUAUUUUCUCUUUGCCUUAUUAAGCCUUCUCCCUCUUUACUCCUGGAUCAAUAAUUUUUCUUUACAAGUUCUAUAACCUUAGUUUUGCUAAAACGUUUCUGUUAUAUCCUGGGAGGUUUGCAUGUGACACCGCUGAUAAACCUCGUUCGUGAUUUUUGACUUCAAUAACAACAACUUGCAGAUGUGAGGGGAGUUAUAAGGAUAUUUGUAUUUUUUUUUUUUGGGGGGGGGGGGUGUUAAUAUGUUAGAGGAGCAACAUACAAGCUUGCAUUUUGUAAUCAAUAUUUUGUCUCCCCUUUCUUUAGUUUCAGUUUUCUCCAAUGAUUGGUGUCAAGAUAUACUUAAAAAACUCUAAAUAAAAAGACCAAAAAAGUCUUUAAGAAACAUAUAUUUGAAUAAACAAAUUUUUGUUUCUCUUUUUCCUGUUCUUGCUUUUCCUCAUAAAUAAUUAGCAUGGCCAUGAAUAGUUUCUUAAUGAAAUUAGUGAGAUAUAUUUGUAAGUGAUCACCUCCAUCGUUGUCUAAAAAAUGUACUACUAAAUUUAUCCUCGGAAUGAGUGGUACAUCAUGAAGGUGUUGUGAUGUUUUCUAAUUGUGAUUGAUUUCAUUGGAGGGUGGGCGGUGAUUUUAUGUUAGUGAUGCCUAUUGUUCUGAUCAUGCUCAAUAACAUAUCAAGGUAGUGAGGAUUUUGAUUUGCUAUAUGAGUCCCUUGGCAGUUGGGGGUGGCUUUGCUGAAUAUAUACUGGUGUAGUCAUGAAUCAUGUAUGAGUGUGCUUGGUAAUUAAAUGGUUGCUGGGGAUUCUAUGCUUGCAGAUAAGGAUUACGGAUAAGUGGUUUUUACGGGAUGGGUACAUUAGCUUCCGUUAUGCUGAUUCAGUUGGAAGUGUAUCAUAAGCUUUUGGAAAUUUAUUGAUGGAACAGGAUGCGGUGCUGCAAUGCAGAAAGUGUGUUGCUUUAUAGGAGUCAAAGGAAUCACAAAGUGAGUUUGUUGGAUAUUUGGGCUGCCAUUCCUUUUUAACAAAUGAUAGCAGCUCCAUGGUGAAGUAUAAGGUUUCUACACUGAAACUUUGGAAAGCAUGGUUGGGUAGGUGUCAGAUAACAUGAAAAUUGAAACCUUCACAUGAUAGAUAGUAGUGUAAAGCUAGAUAUUGUGGUCUAGAAAUGCUUUAAUUAGCUAUUGUUUCUAUAUUGCUGGUUUGUUUUGGAAGUUGGCAUAAAUCAAUGAUGCAUAGAUCUGUCAGUUGGUGUUCCACGGUUAUAUAUGGUUUAUUAUUGUUCUUGGAGUCUAUGAGGGAUGCAGGGGAAACGAGUCACUGUCAUUGUCUCUUGUAAUUUUAUUUUUAUUGUCCCUUGAAUUUAUAUUUUGACUUGAUAUCUUACUCCCUCAACAUUGAAGUAUGGCUUUUUGUUUCACUUUUCUUUGGUGUGUUAACUUUAUUGGAG